GGGGUUGUGGCUCAAUGGUAGAGCACUUGCCUGGCAUGUGUGAGGCAUUGGGUUCAAUUCUCAGCACCA
This 69-nucleotide transfer RNA is filed under the name Ictidomys tridecemlineatus (thirteen-lined ground squirrel). RNAcentral's name for it is "Spermophilus tridecemlineatus (thirteen-lined ground squirrel) tRNA". It matches the Rfam family "tRNA". Rfam says of the family: Transfer RNA (tRNA) molecules are approximately 80 nucleotides in length. Lineage: Eukaryota; Metazoa; Chordata; Mammalia; Rodentia; Sciuridae. The record is from Rfam by way of RNAcentral.